UUGAAGCAGGCUGGUGGGAGUGGAGGGAGGAAGAAGUGGAUGGAUUUCAGAGCAAUUUCGGAGAUGAAAUAGACACCACCUGGGGACUGAUUAGAAGUCGGGGUUGAGGGAAAACAGGAAGUUCAGAACUGCUGUGGCUUUCCUGCCCCAGUUCCUGGGUGACGGUGGGUGGUUCAGUGAGGGGGGGAACACAGUGGGAAGGAGGAGGGACGUCGAGGGGCAGGCUCCAGGGCACCUGAAACUGCAGGUGAAAGUGUUCUUAUUUUGUUCUCACUCUGGCUUUGCUAAAAUGCCGUGGAACUCAAAUGAUGGGUUGAGUCCCAGUUUUAUUCCUAGUUCUGCCACUUCUUGGCUACCUCAGGCACCUUUCUCAAUUCUCUUCUUUCUCACGCAAACAGCGGAGCUACUAAACUGAGUCCUGCACACCUCAAAUGCUGGCGGACACCCUUCUCCCACCCACUUUCUUCAGGUCAAGUGAGAAAUAUUUGAGCCUAUGACUUUGCCAAAGGAGUCUCAAAGGAAUGACUGUCCUCAUCUCCAAAGUCAAAGCUGGGUCAAACCACACCCACAAAUAGCCCAUUUGAAGAGGAGAAGAGGAGGGAAUGGAAACUACGAUUUUCUUCUAAGAUCUCCAGUCCUACCCCCUGCCCCACUUGGAGCCUUGGGCCUUGUGAGGACAUGCCUCAUGGGCCACCUCUGGGGAGAGGUAUCCACUACAGGCCCUACACAGCCAAUCUAAUUUUAUCUACGGAGUUCCCACAUACGACUUUUUCUUUGAAGACCGGAUUCUGUGAGUGUUUGGGGGGUUAGCUGUUGAAGAGCAUUCAUUUGGUAAUACCCACCUGCUCAUAUUUUACUGUGUAUACCGUGUCAUCUCACACUUCAGUCCCUUUGUUUAUGCUGUUCCUGCCUCUGGGAAUGCCCAUCUCUCCAUGCCUGGAAUUGACGCUUCCCCUGCUAUGGACAGAAUGUUUGUGUUUCCUCAAAAUUCAUAUUUUGGAGCCAUAAUCCCCAAUGUGAUGGUAUUUGGAAGUGGGGCCUUUGGGAAGUAAUUAGGUUUAGAUGAGGCCAUGAGGAUGAAGCCCCCAUGAUGGGAUUAGUGCCCUUUUAAGAAGAGGAAGAGACCAGAGCACACUCUCUCUCCACCACGUGAGGAUACAGCAAGAAGGCAGAGUGUGCAAGCCAGGAGGAAGGGCUCUCACCAGACGCUGAAUCUGCUGGCACCUUCAUCUCGGACUUUCCAGUUUCCGGAACUAUAAGAAAUGUCUAUUGUUUAAAUCCCCUGUCUUUGGUAUUUUGCAUGGCAGCUCAAGCUGACUAAGACACUCCUCAAGAAUUCAAGAAACUCACUUCCAAGAAGCUAAUUUGAACUCCGGGGUGGGCUGACGCGCUUUGUCUGUGUUUCCAUUGAAACCUGUGCAUUUAGCUUUGUUAGUAUUUACUGUAUUAAAUUGAAAGAUUACUUGUUUAUGUGUAUACCUUUCCCAUUAGGCAGUAAACUUUUGAAAAUAGG
This is a long non-coding RNA of Equus caballus (horse), 1513 nucleotides long. RefSeq lists it as uncharacterized. The record is from RefSeq and is a predicted model, not a curated record. NCBI's taxonomy places the organism in Eukaryota, Metazoa, Chordata, Mammalia, Perissodactyla, Equidae.